Molecule: transfer RNA, 56 nt
Filed under: Camelus bactrianus (Bactrian camel)
Lineage: Eukaryota; Metazoa; Chordata; Mammalia; Artiodactyla; Camelidae
Also listed under: 2 other names
Rfam family: tRNA
About the family: Transfer RNA (tRNA) molecules are approximately 80 nucleotides in length.
Source: Rfam by way of RNAcentral
AGCUCAGGGGCAGAGCGCCUGCUUAGCAUGCACGAGGUCCUGGGUUCAAUCCCCAG